RNAcentral lists this ribosomal RNA (482 nucleotides) under uncultured bacterium. RNAcentral describes it as "partial 16S ribosomal RNA". It matches the Rfam family "Bacterial small subunit ribosomal RNA", at positions 30 to 507 of the family's 1533-position model. The record is from RNAcentral.
AUUGAACGCUGGCGGCAUGCUUUACACAUGCAAGUCGAACGGUAACAGGCCGCAAGGUGCUGACGAGUGGCGAACGGGGGAGUAAUGCAUCGGAACGUGCCCAGUCGUGGGGGAUAACUACUCGAAAGAGUAGCUAAUACCGCAUACGAUCUAUGGAUGAAAGCGGGGGACCGUAAGGCCUCGCGCGAUUGGAGCGGCCGAUUUCAGAUUAGGUAGUUGGUGGGGUAAAGGCUCACCAAGCCAACGAUCUGUAGCUGGUCUGAGAGGACGACCAGCCACACUGGGACUGAGACACGGCCCCGACUCCUACGGGAGGCAGCGGUGGGGAAUUUUGGGCAAUGGGCGAAAGCCUGAUCCAGCAAUGCCGCGUGCAGGAAGAAGGCCUUCUGGUUGUAAACUGCUUUUGUACGGAACGAAACGGCUCUGGUUAAUACCCGGGGCUAAUGACGGUACCGGAAGAAUAAGCACCGGCUAACUACGUG